GAUGAAGAACGUAGCGAAAUGCGAUACGUAAUGUGAAUUGCAGAAUUCAGUGAAUCAUCGAAUCUUUGAACGCAUAUUGCGCUCUCUGGUAUUCCGGAGAGCAUGCUUGUUUGAGUAUCAGUAAACACCUCAACUUCCAUAUCUUUUUUGAAAUGGGAGUUGGACUUGAGUGAUCCCAACGCUUUUCCUCACCGAAAAGUGGCGGGUUACUUGAAAUGCAGGUGCAGCUGGACUUUUCUCUGAGCUUUAAGCAUAUCUAUUUAGUCUGCCUAAAAAACAGAUUAUUACCUUUGCUGCAGCUAACAUAAAGGAGAUUAGUUCUUGUGCUGACUGAUGCAGGAUUCACAAAGACGGCUUCGGCCGACUUUGUAAACUCGAUCUCAAAUCAAGUAAGACUACCCGCUGAACUUAAGCAUAUCAAUAAGCGGAGGA
Molecule: unclassified non-coding RNA, 432 nt
Filed under: soil metagenome
Description: partial contains 5.8S ribosomal RNA, internal transcribed spacer 2, and large subunit ribosomal RNA
Rfam family: 5.8S ribosomal RNA (bases 1-120)
Source: RNAcentral